CAGGGCGAAAGGGCAGCAGGCGAUGGCGGGCCUGUACGUGCCAGUGGAUCUACAUAAGGUGUCCCAGGGCUGGCACUGCGGCCAGGUGACGUCGCUACCGCCGCCGAGCACCAUGGAGAGCUGCCGCGCGAGAAGUACUCGCCGCUGCCCUGCCCGGCGCCGGACACCACGGCCCCUGUAUCUCUGUUGUCGACGACUCAAAGACCGGCGUGGUGUUGGCCGGCUUCAGGUCGGCGCGGGAGAUCGCGUCGGCGGCCCGGGGAGUCGCGGCCUAGGCGGGCGAGCACAUGGGACCUGUAGCUCUGGUGCCGGCCCUGCUCCUCCCGGAGGAAGGCCCUAGAGUCGAGCCGCAGGGUAAGCCCACUCUGGUGAAGGAUUGGAUCGCUGGAGAAUGACCUACUCUGUUCUUCAAUUGCGUUCUGGUGAACGACAUGCUCAAUCUUAUUGCUUUCAACUUGAUCAACCUCUGCCUUUUAUUCGUGGAAGAAGCAGCCGGUGAGGACGACCUGCUCUCCUUUUCAAUCCGGUGCGUAAGUCUGAAGUUUCCCUUUCUCAUGCCAUGUUCCUAUGAAUAGCUCACUAGAACUGACAGAAUUUUGAUCGUAAGACUGCUUUCAACUUGAUCAAGCUUUCCCUUUUAUAAAAAGAAGAAUCAGCCGGGGUUGUAUUUUGUAUAUUGAGAUGGAAGAAGAGGCUAACACAUCGUACCAUCGUACCAUCCAACAUGAGCUACCAAGCUUUCCCUUUCACAUUUACUUUUCUCUCGUCCUGAAAUAUGGCACUUGCACAAGUUUUUUGUGUUCAUGAUUACUUUUCAAUUGCAGAGCUAUAUUGUCCAGUUUGGUACCUCAUAUUGGCAUGAAAUUAAAAAAUUCAGAUGAAGCUUGGGCAUUUUCGCUUAGCUGUGGUGGUCAAAAGGGCUUUGACGUCCGAAAAAGGUAUACGAACAAAAGGUCCGCAGAUGGCAAGGUAACCUCAUGUCGAUUUAUUUGUGCAAGGAAAUGGAAUGCUUAAUCUCUUUUCCCAAAGUAAUUUCAGUUAUCAAGUCUGAAAAUGUACAAGUAGCAAGGGCUACAUGGGCUAAUUCAGUUAACAAGUCUGAAAAACUAAAUUCGGUUAUCAGCUAAUCGGCCGGCAGCGGUGCGACUGUUGGGAAACCGGGGCGACCGAGUGUGGCGGCGGCCUCGUGCGUAUCGCACGGGCUAGCCCCUCCCGUUUCCCCCAGUUUACGUUAAGUGGGUACUUAUCCCUUGACCCCUACCCCCUAUAUAAAGCAACGAGGAGCUAUCAUUGUAAUCCUUGAUCAUUGAUUAAUAAAGCUGGUCUCCUCCA
This is a non-coding RNA of Aegilops tauschii subsp. strangulata, 1332 nucleotides long. Lineage: Eukaryota; Viridiplantae; Streptophyta; Magnoliopsida; Poales; Poaceae. The record is from RefSeq and is a predicted model, not a curated record.